GAUGAACGCUAGCGAUAGGCCUAACACAUGCAAGUCGAGGGGCAUCACAUGAAGUAGCAAUACGGAUGGUGGCGAUCGGCGCACGGGUGAGUAACACGUAUGCAACCUGCCUUCAACAAGGGGAUAACCCGUUGAAAAACGGACUAAUACCCUAUAAUACAGGGGUCCCGCAUGGGGAUAUUUGUUAAAGAUUGAUCGGUUGAAGAUGGGCAUGCGUUCCAUUAGCUGGUUGGUGAGGUAACGGCUCACCAAGGCAACGAUGGAUAGGGGAACUGAGAGGUUUAUCCCCCACACUGGUACUGAGACACGGACCAGACUCCUACGGGAGGCAGCAGUGAGGAAUAUUGGUCAAUGGACGCAAGUCUGAACCAGCCACGUCGCGUGAAGGAAGACGGCCCUACGGGUUGUAAACUUCUUUUAUACGGGGAAUAAAGUGCCCCACGCGUGGGGUUUUGCAUGUACCGUAUGAAUAAGGAUCGGCUAACUCCGUGCCAGCAGCCGCGGU
This 505-nucleotide ribosomal RNA is filed under the name uncultured bacterium. RNAcentral describes it as "bacterial SSU rRNA". It matches the Rfam family "Bacterial small subunit ribosomal RNA", at positions 28 to 521 of the family's 1533-position model. The record is from RNAcentral.